RNAcentral lists this long non-coding RNA (2560 nucleotides) under Calidris pugnax (ruff). RNAcentral describes it as "lncRNA (ENSCPUG00000013470.1)". Lineage: Eukaryota; Metazoa; Chordata; Aves; Charadriiformes; Scolopacidae. The record is from RNAcentral.
ACCAACCCCACUCUACUCUCCCCUCCCCACCCAAAACAUUCCAGCCUUUCCUUUCCUACCACUUGAGGAGGGGGGGGGGGCUGUUUAUUGACAUUAUGCAAGCGCUGAAAUAUUUUCCUUUUUCUUCUCUCCCGUCCCCUUUUUUCUCCCCUUUCUCCCUCCUCUUUCCCUCCUCUCUCUCUCCGCCGGGGGGGGUUGCGAAGGUAGCUCAAACCCCUCCAAGUCACCUCGGCUUAUCAGCCCAAGGAGAUGCAUUCCUCUGGGCUGCUCCCUUUCUAAAUCACUGCUGGCCGGGAGCCCGCUGCCCGCCCCGCAGCCUCCGCACCGCCCCCGCCAUGCCCUAACCCCGGGACCCCUCUACGCCCGUCGGGGGAAAGGGGGGAGCGGUGGUGGUGGUGGUGGAGGAGGAGGAGGAGGAAGAGGAGGGGGGGGGACACCCCGCAGCAGCCCCGGAGAGGGCUGGCAGCGAUGGUACCCCCGUCCCCAUCUCUCCCCCGUCCCUGAAAGGGCGGCUGUUGCCGGGAUGUUCAGCUGGCACCGCAGCUUCACCCUGGGAGCGCCCUGGAAAAGAGGCAAGACGAGCCCACCUGCGGAGGACAAAGUCGUGCUCACACACAUGAAGAUACUGAGCGAUGAAGGAAUUCAAAACCCAGGGUUAAUCCCAGAGGCUCCAGCUGACCCAGCCUGCACCCAGGAGUCCCACCUCCCACCGGACCACCAGGAAAACCCAAAUGCAGCAGCGGAUCCAGACUACCCAGAUGGCCCAGCAAGCAUGGACUAUGUAGCCACCCUGCCUGACCUCAGCGCCUUCGAGUCCAAGUGCCGGCUCCACAGAUUCUCCAAAUUUGAAUCUGAGGACUCAGGGGUUGAGUUGCCCAGCGGGGCUAAUUCUCCAUCGACGCCGACGGGCUCGGAGAAGAGCUUUGUGCUUCACAGCAGAGACUCGUUUUGUGACUCGGGUGUGCUUAGCACCUCCUCUUCUCCAGAAAUCGACCACCUGAUCAUGAGAACAUGUGAAGAGCACGCCAGGAAAGUCAGCCACCAAGAUCCAGAGAGUGAAAAGCAAGCUGAGUACUACGGCCAGGAGGCAGAUGCUGUGCAGGGUGCUACAGCUCCCCUUGAAGACUUCAGUGUCCCUCAGGAAGGAAGUCCUGGUGAACAUUUUGACCAAAGUGAAAGGCAAUCACUGGAAAAGGAACCUACCCCAGAGACGGACCUUCCCAGGGAAAACACUCUUCCCACCCCAGCUCCCAUAGAAGAGCCAAAGACAAUUGAUGAUAAUUUCCCAGAGACCUUUGGCAGCAUGCAAGACCUUCAUCAGCUGAAGAAGUACCCCACCAGUGACAGUCUGGAUGAAUACAUGGAUGAAUGCUGUAGACUGAGUGAGGUGAACCAAGGUAACAGCAAAGUCCUGGGGUCUGGUCUGGGGUACCUGGAACACAUUUGCCAACUGAUUGAGAAGAUUGGGCAGCUGCAGGAGCACAACCUGCGUCUCCAGAAGCAAGUGUGCAGCUUGCAGAAAGAGCAGAAGAUGAGACAGAUCAAAGAGGAGUAUCUUCUCCAGCAUUGCCACUGUGGAGCUGCCAGCGUCUUCCUCAACUCGUACCAAGAUGUGAAGACGUUGUUUGCUGGGAGGAGCAGACCUCACAGCCUCUUGGUUCAGACUGGAAACGCUUCUGAUCUUUCCAUCAUCCCAGAAAUAGGAGCAAACACCGAAAAGCUGAGCAGCUGCAACGGAAGUGAGAGAUACCUGGAAUCGGGAAGCAGCCAGCCGAUGGCGGGGCUCAGGAAGUCAUCAAACAAUAGGAACAACAAGGAGAAUGAGUUCAGAGAAGCUGGUAGCAUGGCUGAGGGACAGGCUUUUCCGUCCAAGGACCCUGCAGUAAGAAAGGGCGUGGACGUCAGCAAGAACAUCUCGGGUGAGAGCCAUGCUUGGGGGAGAAUGAAAGAUCUGAUUUGGAGGACACGGCUGAGAAACCAGAACAAGCUAGGGCUGUACUCUGCUGCUCUGAAGAGGUCCUGCCCACAGUUGUACAGGCCAGAUAUUGUGUCUUCGGAGCUGAGGAAAACUGAGAGGAACUCCAUGAUCGUUCUGGGGCAAAAUACAAAGAAUGAAAACAUAUGGCCUUUCUGAUAACCCAAGUCAAAUGGAACAAGAAAGGCAAGAGUGGAAACACCAACGGACACAAAACCAAGGAUCCUGGGGUUACUUUGUGCAACCUGCAUCCUACGGUUGUCAAGGGAGUUAACUACGGUUUGGGCGUUGGAAGGGAAAGAGGGAAGGGGGAGGUUGAGAAGGGUCUGUGGACAGAUGCGUGCUCGGCUACGUACGGCUUCGCUCCUGAAACUGAAAAAUACUUCUAAAAGUCAAGCCACGGAUAAAAAACUACUGUUAGCAUCUUGGCAACACGGCCAACAGAGACUUUUAAGCAAGAUUUGGAAAUUCUUCCUCCUCCUCUCCGGAUUAGGAAAAGAAUUACCUGAAACACUGAAGCUUUUAAGUUAUCAUUGCUUUCUGGGGACCUUCUCCAACUGAAAUAAACUUCGCCUUUAUGGGACA